Molecule: ribosomal RNA, 571 nt
Filed under: uncultured bacterium
Lineage: Bacteria
Description: partial 16S ribosomal RNA
Rfam family: Bacterial small subunit ribosomal RNA
Source: RNAcentral
UGGGGAAUUUUGGACAAUGGGCGAAAGCCUGAUCCAGCAAUGCCGCGUGUGUGAAGAAGGCCUUCGGGUUGUAAAGCACUUUUGUCCGGAAAGAAAUCCUUGGCUCUAAUACAGUCGGGGGAUGACGGUACCGGAAGAAUAAGCACCGGCUAACUACGUGCCAGCAGCCGCGGUAAUACGUAGGGUGCAAGCGUUAAUCGGAAUUACUGGGCGUAAAGCGUGCGCAGGCGGUUUGCUAAGACCGAUGUGAAAUCCCCGGGCUCAACCUGGGAACUGCAUUGGUGACUGGCAGGCUAGAGUAUGGCAGAGGGGGGUAGAAUUCCACGUGUAGCAGUGAAAUGCGUAGAGAUGUGGAGGAAUACCGAUGGCGAAGGCAGCCCCCUGGGCCAAAUACUGACGCUCAUGCACGAAAGCGUGGGGAGCAAAACAGGAUUAGAUACCCUGGUAGUCCACGCCCUAAAACGAUGUCAACUAGUUGUUGGGGAUUCAUUUCCUUAGUAACGUAGCUAACGCGUGAAGUUGACCGCCUGGGGAGUACGGUCGCAAAGAUUAAAAACUCAAAGGAAUUGAC